CUUUUAGAACCUUUGAAGGCCAUUACGAGUUCUUAGUUAUGCCUUUCGGCCUUGCUAAUGCACCAUCUACCUUUCAGGCAGCCAUGAAUGAUUUACUCAGGCCCCAUCUACGACACUUUGUCCUAGUUUUUUUUUUUAUGACAUUCUCAUUUACAGCAAAUCCAUGCAAGACCACAUUCACCACCUCACUUUGAUCCUUCAAUUAUUAGACACUCAUAAAUUCUUUGUUAAGGAAUCAAAAUGUGUGUUUGCCACAACCAGAGUCUCAUACCUGGGCCAUCUUUUGGAAGAAGGCACAGUGGCUCCAGAUCCAGAUAAAAUCAAGGCUAUCAUACGUUGGCCUAAACCUACAUCCCUUACUACCCUACGUGCGUUUCUGGGUAUUACGGGAUUUUAUCGGAAGUUCAUCAUCAACGUUUACAUGGAAUACAAAUGCAGAGGAAGCCUUUACAAAAUUGAAAAAUAUCCUAACUACGACUCCAGUAUUGAGUCUUCCGAAUUUCGCCAUACCGUUCGUGGUAGAAACCAACGCCUCCAACAUAGCAAUUGGAGUUGUGCUAUCCCAAGAAGGUCACCCCAUUGCUUUCUUCAGCAAUAAACUUUGCCAAAAAAUGCAAGCUAGCUCGGCAUAUGUCAAGGAAAUGCUAGCUAUAACAGAAGCUGUCAAAAAGUGGCGUCAUUAUCUCAUAGGUACACAUUUCACAGUAAUAACAGACCAACAAAGCUUAAAGGGGUUACUUACCAAUGCAUGCCACACACCAGAACAACAAAAGUGGGCUACCAAGCUGCUUGAAUACAGUUUUGACAUCCGAUACCGCCUAGGCCGCCAAAAUCAAACUGCUGAUUUCUUGUCCCGGCCACCCCAAUCCCUCCUUUUGGCCAUAUCUUCCCCGAUUCCGAACAUGUUCAAGGAAUUACAAGAUUAUUACAAAACAAAAAAGGGAGAAGAAGAGGUUCACAGAUUAAUUUCAUUACCUGACACUCAUUACAGUUUUCACCACGACCUUCUAUACCAUGCUCAAAGAUUAUACGUUCCUUCCAUAGAGCACAUUCGUUCGGCCAUACUCCACGAGUUCCAUGCUUCUCCCACCGCCGGCCACUCAGGCAUUAAGGCCACCAUGGCGAGGCUCGUAGCCUCCUUUUUCUGGCCUGGUAUGUACCGCGACACCAAAAGAUAUAUCAAGGAAUGCCUACCCUGCCAACAAAACAAAUCAUUACAUCAGAAACCUUGUGCAUUACUCCAACCCAUACCCAUACCAACCAAACUGUGGGAAGAACUAACUACAAAUUUCAUCACGCACCUACCUUCAUCUUUUGGGCACACAGUCAUCUGGGUUGUUUGUGACAGGCUCUCCAAAUCAGCCCACUUCAUCGCCCUCCCCACGUCCUUCACAGCCAACCAUUUAGCUAACCGUUUUUCUAUUGAAAUUUGCAGGUUACAUGGAGUCCCUAAAUCCAUCAUUUCAGACCGUGAUCCAGUGUUCCAGGGCCGUUUUUGGAAGGAGUUGUUUCAUCUGCAAGGCACAAAAUUAAAGUUCAGUACGGCGUAUCACCCCCAAACCGAAGUUAUAAAUCGUUGUUUAGAAGCUUACCUUAGGUGUUUUACCAGUGAAAACCCUCGAACAUGGUAUCGCUAUCUCCACCUUGCGGAGUUUUAGUACAACUCCUCAUACCAGUCGACCAUCAAAACUACACCCUUCCAGGCUCUGUAUGGACGAUUGCCUCCUUCCAUUCCAGAUUAUGUUCCAGGAACUGCCACAAAACCAACACUGGACACCACGCUACAGGACCGUGCGCGAAUGCUGCACCAGUUAAAAGCCACGCUGAAAGCAAACAAAUCAAGACGUGAUUACCAUUUUUUAGAAAACGACUGGGUACUGCUUCGACGACAAGCUUACCGCCAGACAUCACUCUCGUCCAAGACUCACAAUAAGCUUGGACAAAGGUUCUUCGGUCCCUAUCCCGUUAAACGACGCAUCGGUAAAGUGGCAUAUGAACUUUUCCUUCCCCUGUCAUCACGUAUCCAUCCAGUCUUCCACAUCUCUCUUCUCAAACCUUAUCACGGCCCAACCCCACCGUCGCAUUUCCAAUUCCCUCUCGAAACAGAGAACCCAAUAAUACCAACCCACGACCUCCCAACUCUCUUCCCAAACUACACUUCACAUUCUGAGAUUUCUAAUACUCCUUCUACCUCAUUAAACACGAACCCAACUAAAGAACCCACAAAAGCCGCAUCUGCAGACACGUGGAAACCAUCUACGGUCCACGCCCCACUUAAACUGGCACCACCCUCUUUUGCAUGUGACCUUACACUUCCCAAAGCCCCACCAGCUGUAAUCCACGCACCAAAACCACUCAU
Molecule: long non-coding RNA, 2359 nt
Filed under: Phaseolus vulgaris (common bean)
Lineage: Eukaryota; Viridiplantae; Streptophyta; Magnoliopsida; Fabales; Fabaceae
Description: long non-coding RNA (PVUL_LNC003417)
Source: RNAcentral